GACAAAAGACUUAUCCAGCUAAGGAAGAUAUAGGUUCGUUCUUGUCCGGCAUCUUCCCGACAAGCAAUCAGGAAAUAAGCAUGUAGAAAGCGUUUGCAGAAUGUGUUUGGACGCGGGUUCGAUUCCCGCCGGCUCCACAA
RNAcentral lists this transfer-messenger RNA (140 nucleotides) under Chitinophagaceae bacterium. Its description in RNAcentral is "partial transfer-messenger RNA". It matches the Rfam family "transfer-messenger RNA", at positions 231 to 374 of the family's 374-position model. Rfam says of the family: Bacterial tmRNA, also known as 10Sa RNA or SsrA, is named for its dual tRNA and mRNA-like properties. Its role is to liberate the mRNA from a stalled ribosome. To accomplish this part of the tmRNA is used as a reading frame that ends in a translation stop signal. Lineage: Bacteria; Pseudomonadati; Bacteroidota; Chitinophagia; Chitinophagales; Chitinophagaceae. The record is from RNAcentral.